AGGGGAAGUGGAAAGAGAACGAAAUUUCAUAUCGAAUCGUCCGAGAAAAAUGGUAAAUUUCUUUAAGAUCGUUCGAUAUAAAAUAUUGCUCGAGCAUGGUCGUACGAUCGAAGAUGAAAGACGACGUAUGUACCUAAGUACCUACAUACAUCUGUAUAUAUUAUAUAUGUUAUUCGGAAUCGAUACUGAUUUCGGUUGAAAAACUUUGAAUCUUCGUAGGUUUGAUCGGAAGAAGACGAGUUAGUCGUUGUCGUUCGGCACAGAAGAAUAUGCGUUCUCUUCGCGUACUCGAAAAACGAUCGUAAUAUUCCGUUCGCGGAUGGUUUCUAUGCAAAUAUAAGAGCGAACGAGAACGUCGUAAGUAUUCGAGCAAGAAUAAAUCGGUGUAUCAUCUUUUAUACGCGAGCUUUGAAAACAGCUGGUUUACGAGUUACGACGUAUCGACUCGCCGGUGAUAUUGAGAACGCUUAGCUUGAGAUUCACAAGAGACGUGCGCGUCGUCAAAAUUUGCAAAAUGAAUAUCUAUCUAAAGAGCCUAUCGAAAGAAAUAGAUACUCUCGAGAUAUAUCGAGAGAUAUUAUUUUUUUCAUGGUCGAGCGAAGAUGAAAGAAUGCUUGCACAUACGAGAAGCGUGAACAUUUAUGUAAGUAGGAGAUAUAUAUGUAUAUACGCACGAUUGAAAAAGAGAAAGAGGCGUAGAUAGAAAGAGUUAACGAUGGACGUCGUUAAGAGUUUCGAGAAGAACGUCCUGUCUCUGUGCCUCGCGUAUCUAUAAAGUUAAUGCGUACAUAGCUAUGUCCUCACGCUAUUAUACGCGUUAGAUUCGCCCUUCCCUUUCUCUCUCCUCGUAGGUUAUUUAUGUUUUUUUGAGCCGUAUUGUUAAUGUUAUCGAAACGAUCCUUACGAUGUUUACAAAGAGUACAAUGUAUUUCUUUAGACUAACUUUAUUUAAACCACGUCUCUCGCGAUAUUAUUUUCUAUUUGUCUUAGCGUUUAAAACUUCAAAGCGCUUAUAACUUUUUAUUACCUUUUUUUAUGGACGGAAUAAAUAUGCGAGGAGAUAUUUUUGAGAAUAAUAAUCCUUCGAACAAGAUCACAAAAGCUUUAUGUAAAAAUAAUUAUACUUACAUAUAAGUACCAAUAUCUAUUCCAAUAAAUUUUAUGGUGCAUCAAUAUCACGAUGUAUGUCCCUCGAUUAUUAUCCAUGGGAUAUAGCAAUGAUAUCGUUUAAUUUUGAUUAGGCGUGCCGCACAGAGAUAAUGCACGUGAAUGAGGCCACGCGAUCGCCCGUAAACUUGGCCAUACAUGAAAGCGUGAUCGAACUCGAUUAUCAUCUUAAUGACGACGCUCAUAUUGAAUCGUUCACGAGCGAACGCUCGUCGAGUAAGCUCCGCUCGUCAACCGAGACGACGACGUAAAGUAUUCAGCAGGCUGCUACGUGAAAGUAUUUCAUAUUUAAUCGUCGUCACUGUCUACCAACGUCGACAUGCGAAUUCACCACUUCCAAAUUUAUUCUCUCUUCGUCGAAUUAGAAAUUAUCGCCGACAGAAAAGUAGACUUUCGCGUGAACGUCGUCUAUAGGAAUGAAUUUUACAAUGUACGUAGAAGAACAACAGAACAACGAAAAUAAAUCAUAUUGAUCGAUGUAAACAAUACGAAACGUAUAGUAUGUAUAUAGAAACGUAUAAUGUGUUUAUUGAUAUCGGUGAUGAUAUCAUUACUUCCUGGAAGGACAGAUACAGAAAGCUUAUAUUUUGUAUACAUACGUGUACCUCUCUAGUUUCAAUCUACAUGACCUCUGUUGUAAUAGCUACCCAUUAGUCAUCCAUCGACCGUGGUCUUUUAAACAUCGUCGUACCGAUCUGUGCCGUAUUUUAAUCUACCUUAUAGAUAUUACUCGCAUAUUUAUCACCGCAAAUUUAACUCCGUCUACAAUAAUUUGUAAUAUUUAUUCUUUCGUAAACUAAUCAUUUUCUUUAGCGUUAUUUCAACACAUUUACUGGAAAAAUUCGCCGUUUAGUAACACCGAGCGUCAUUAACAACAGGAUCUUUGGAGAAUCAUCGAAGCAUAUUCGACGACUUCGCUUUAUUUACGAAUAAUUAAUUUUCUAUUAAUUAAUAAUUUUCUCUAGCAUCAUUUCAACAGCUUUCCGAAGAAACCCAUCGUUCAAUAUUCGUCAAGUAUUAUCUUCGAGAGAUCAUCGGCGCAUUCGAUCACUUUAUUAGUUAUUAAGUUUAUUUUAAUUAAUAAUUCUCUGUAGCAUUAUUUGAAAAUAUCGUUGAGUAUCAUCAACAACGAAAUCUUCGGGAGAUCAUCGGAGCAACGUUUUUCAUCGGCUACAGGAGUAACGGCGAUCUCCCUUUCUCUAAGCGUUUCUUUCGCGGUCCAGAGGCCACGAUAGUGCGAGUUGCGAUCGACGAUAACAUAACGCGUCGGUUCGAAUCCAUUUCGAUAUCUCUCUUAGUUUCGGUGUUCUUGUGGGAAACGAAGAGCAAGUUUGGUCUCUAUCGGUACGAACGAUCGUUUAGAUAUAAUUACUAACAAUCCUGAAGGGCUCAUGGUAUAAGCCCUUCUUCGUGAUUGGCCAUUUCCAUGGAUCUUGGUGAUCGUUAACGAGCCUACAAAAGGAGAGAAGAAGGCAGAAGAGAAGAAGAGGAUCGUAAAGGAAGAAACGGAAUUGCUAGGAAGGAACGAAGGAUUGCGAGCGUUCGUUCUGCCAUUCUAUAAAUCCUCCAUACACGGGCUUUCCUCUGGUAGCAAGUAGGAGCCGUCGACGGUGGUCAUUGAAGGGACCAAGAGGAGGCGGUUAACUAAAAAUCUUCUGGUGGCGCGAGCGCGCGCGCACAUACAACGGCCUCGCGCGUAGCAGCCUGUAAUUUUCCUCGACUGGGGUGAGGAGAAAACGAGAAGGAGAGAGACGAGAAGAAGAAGGAGGCUGUCGUCGAAAGGCUCGUCGAGUCGGUUGGAAGAUGCGAGCGACGAAAAGGUGGAGAAAGAGGAGGAGGAGGAGGAGGAGGAGGAGGGGUGAAACGGCAGCAAAAGAGAAUGCGAAUUUCAGAUACAAAAUCGAUCUCGAGUAAACUGAUUGCUUAAUUAUACAAGGGGAAUAAGAAAUGUAAUAAGAGAACGAAAUCGUAAUAGAGGAAUAUGGAUGGACGACGAUACAUUUUCAUGGACAUCUUAAGGAAAUGAUAAAGGGAAGACGUCGAGGGAUUUUAAAAAGCUCUUUCAACGUCAACUCGCCGUACUCCACUACUGUCAACCGGUGUCGUUCUUCGUUCCUUUGAUCGACGUCGUCGAAUUGUUCUUCCCCGUUUUGCAAAAGAAUCCUGAGAUGCGUUGUAGCUCCUCGAAAAAGGGCUUCAACCGUUAACAGGCGUUCGCACCCAAGAAAGAUCAAUUAGGGGAUAUUUCGAUAAUGGCGUUUUGUGUGUCGCCGUUACCACCACAAAAUUGUAUAGACCGAAGGAUGCAGAAAUCAGACAGGAAAUAAGAAAGCGUAUAGAUAUAUAUAUGUUGAAGCUUUGUGAAAGUCGACUAGAUGGAGAGAAACGGAGAAGAGAAUUAUAGGAGGGUUGUUCGGUAAUACUGUUGACGGUAUACCGACACCGGUGGUCUCUAAGCUUCGGUUCGACGUAGGUAGAAUAGGAGAGAGCGGGAGGGAAAUCGUAUGUACCGAGGGACAAUAGAGGAGCUACGGCCCUCUUAGAGGGAGGUUAAUUGGAUCCCAUCGAUUUCGAUAGUACAAUGAACGGAGAUCAAAUCCUCGUCGAUUCGAGGAGACGACGUAACGGCUUUCCUUCAUCUCUUCUAAUUCUCUUUCUCUCUCUCUCUCUCUCUCUCUCUCUCUCUC
Vespula vulgaris is the source of this 3854-nucleotide long non-coding RNA. RefSeq lists it as uncharacterized. The transcript has 5 exons. Lineage: Eukaryota; Metazoa; Arthropoda; Insecta; Hymenoptera; Vespidae. The record is from RefSeq and is a predicted model, not a curated record.